AUUGAACGCUGGCGGCAUGCCUUACACAUGCAAGUCGAACGGCAGCACGGGGGCAACCCUGGUGGCGAGUGGCGAACGGGUGAGUAAUACAUCGGAACGUGUCCCGUCGUGGGGGAUAACCAGUCGAAAGACUGGCUAAUACCGCAUGAGAUCGAGAGAUGAAAGCGGGGGACCGCAAGGCCUCGCGCGAUGGGAGCGGCCGAUGCCGGAUUAGCUAGUUGGCGGGGUAAAAGCCCACCAAGGCGACGAUCCGUAGCUGGUUUGAGAGAGCGACCAGCCACACUGGGACUGAGACACGGCCCAGACUCCUACGGGAGGCAGCAGUGGGGAAUUUUGGACAAUGGGCGCAAGCCUGAUCCAGCCAUGCCGCGUGUGUGAAGAAGGCCUUCGGGUUGUAAAGCACUUUCGGGCGGAACGAAAUCGCGCGGGCGAAUACCCCGCGUGGAUGACGGUACCGUAAGAAGAAGCACCGGCUAACUACGUGCCAGCCGCCGCGGUAA
This 500-nucleotide ribosomal RNA is filed under the name uncultured bacterium. Its description in RNAcentral is "partial 16S ribosomal RNA". It matches the Rfam family "Bacterial small subunit ribosomal RNA", at positions 29 to 523 of the family's 1533-position model. The record is from RNAcentral.